Molecule: small nuclear RNA, 100 nt
Filed under: Chinchilla lanigera (long-tailed chinchilla)
Lineage: Eukaryota; Metazoa; Chordata; Mammalia; Rodentia; Chinchillidae
Source: RNAcentral
GUCCUCAAGCAGCAUAUAUACUAAAACUGGAACAAUUCAGAGAUCAGUAUGGCCCCUUCAAAAGGAUGGCACACAAAUCUGUGAGGUGUCGCAUAUUACA